Molecule: ribosomal RNA, 806 nt
Filed under: uncultured Chromatiales bacterium
Lineage: Bacteria; Pseudomonadati; Pseudomonadota; Gammaproteobacteria; Chromatiales
Description: bacterial SSU rRNA
Rfam family: Bacterial small subunit ribosomal RNA
Source: RNAcentral
AGAGUUUGAUCAUGGCUCAGAUUGAACGCUGGCGGCAUGCCUAACACAUGCAAGUCGAACGGUAACAGGCCGCAAGGUGCUGACGAGUGGCGGACGGGUGAGUAAUACGUAGGUAUCUGCCCUGUAGUGGGGGAUAACCCGGGGAAACUCGGGCUAAUACCGCAUACGCUCUUUUAUCGAUGAGAUAGGAGAGGAAAGCGAGGGACCGAAAGGCCUCGCGCUAGAGGAUGAGCCUACGUCCGAUUAGCUAGUUGGUAGGGUAAAGGCCUACCAAGGCGACGAUCGGUAGCUGGUCUGAGAGGAUGGCCAGCCACACUGGGACUGAGACACGGCCCAGACUCCUACGGGAGGCAGCAGUGGGGAAUCUUGGGCAAUGGGGGCAACCCUGACCCAGCGACGCCGCGUGGGGGACGAAGGCCUUCGGGUUGUAAACCCCUGUUAGGUGGGACGAACCGCCUCUGGCAAAGACCCGGAGGCGCUGACGGUACCACCAGAGAAAGCCCCGGCUAACUCCGUGCCAGCAGCCGCGGUAAUACGGAGGGGGCGAGUGUUGUUCGGAAUUACUGGGCGUAAAGCGCGCGUAGGCGGCUUUGUAAGUUAGAGGUGAAAGCCCGGGGCUCAACUCCGGAACUGCCUUUAAGACUGCAUCGCUUGAAUCCGGGAGAGGUGAGUGGAAUUCCGAGUGUAGAGGUGAAAUUCGUAGAUAUUCGGAAGAACACCAGUGGCGAAGGCGGCUCACUGGACCGGUAUUGACGCUGAGGUGCGAAAGCGUGGGGAGCAAACAGGAUUAGAUACCCCCGUAGUCC